GCCGGCGGCGUGCCUAAUACAUGCAAGUCGAGCGAACGGACGAGAAGCUUGCUUCUCUGNUGUUAGCGGCGGACGGGUGAGUAACACGUGGAUAACCUACCUAUAAGACUGGGAUAACUUCGGGAAACCGGAGCUAAUACCGGAUAAUAUUUUGAACCGCAUGGUUCAAAAGUGAAAGACGGUCUUGCUGUCACUUAUUAGAUGGNCCGCCUCUGCAUUAGCUAAGUUGGUAAGGUAACGGCUUACCAAGGCAACGAUGCAUAGCCGACCUGAGAGGGUGAUCGGCCACACUGGAACUGAGACACGGUCCAGACUCCUACGGGAGGCAGCAGUAGGGAAUCUUCCGCAAUGGGCGAAAGCCUGACGGAGCAACGCCGCNGUGAGUGAUGAAGGUCUUCGGAUCGUAAAACUCUGUUAUUAGGGAAGAACAUAUGUGUAAGUAACUGUGCACAUCUUGACGGUACCUAAUCAGAAAGCCACGGCUAACUACGUGCCAGCAGCCGCGGUAAUACGUAGGUGGCAAGCGUUAUCCGGAAUUAUUGGGCGUAAAGCGCGCGUAGGCGGUUUUUUAAGUCUGAUGUGAAAGCCCACGGCUCAACCGUGGAGGGUCAUUGGAAACUGGAAAACUUGAGUGCAGAAGAGGAAAGUGGAAUUCCAUGUGUAGCGGUGAAAUGCGCAGAGAUAGGAGGAACACCAGUGGCGAAGGCGACUUUCUGGUCUGUAACUGACGCUGNAUGUGCGAAAGCGGGGG
This 751-nucleotide ribosomal RNA is filed under the name Staphylococcus aureus. RNAcentral's name for it is "bacterial SSU rRNA". It matches the Rfam family "Bacterial small subunit ribosomal RNA", at positions 35 to 765 of the family's 1533-position model. The record is from RNAcentral. Lineage: Bacteria; Bacillati; Bacillota; Bacilli; Caryophanales; Staphylococcaceae.